AGUAAAGACAUAAGUUGACUGCUUUAUG
This 28-nucleotide non-coding RNA is filed under the name Cricetulus griseus (Chinese hamster). Lineage: Eukaryota; Metazoa; Chordata; Mammalia; Rodentia; Cricetidae. The record is from RNAcentral.